RNAcentral lists this ribosomal RNA (528 nucleotides) under Leptodactylus luctator. RNAcentral describes it as "partial 16S ribosomal RNA". It matches the Rfam family "Bacterial large subunit ribosomal RNA", at positions 1911 to 2587 of the family's 2925-position model. Lineage: Eukaryota; Metazoa; Chordata; Amphibia; Anura; Leptodactylidae. The record is from RNAcentral.
CCAGUGACUCUGUUCAACGGCCGCGGUAUCCUAACCGUGCGAAGGUAGCGUAAUCACUUGUUCUUUAAAUGAGGACUAGUAUGAAUGGCACCACGAAGGUUAUACUGUCUCCUUUCUUUAAUCAGUGAAACUAAUCUCUCCGUGAAGAAGCGGGGAUAUAAUUAUAAGACGAGAAGACCCUAUGGAGCUUUAAACGUGAGUAACAAUUGCCCGCCAUAAUACUUUUCCCCGGAAAUUAAUCACAAUACUUAGGCAUCUUGAUUACAAGUUUUAGGUUGGGGUGACCGCGGAGCAGAGAAUAACCUCCGCAGUGAAUGGAACUUAUUUCCUAAACCCAGGGCUACGACCCUAAGCAUCAAUAAAUUGACACUAAUUGACCCAAUAUUUUGAUCAAUGAACCAAGUUACCCUAGGGAUAACAGCGCAAUCCACUUCAAGAGCCCCUAUCGACAAGUGGGUUUACGACCUCGAUGUUGGAUCAGGGUAUCCCAGUGGUGCAGCCGCUACUAAAGGUUCGUUUGUUCAACGA